This 956-nucleotide non-coding RNA is filed under the name Elephantulus brachyrhynchus (short-snouted elephant shrew). RNAcentral's name for it is "12S ribosomal RNA". It matches the Rfam family "Bacterial small subunit ribosomal RNA". The record is from RNAcentral. Lineage: Eukaryota; Metazoa; Chordata; Mammalia; Macroscelidea; Macroscelididae.
CAAAGGUUUGGUCCUGGCCUUAUUAUUAAUUGUCAGUAAGAUUAUACAUGCAAGUAUCCGCCAACCAGUGAAAAUGCCCUCAUACUCGUCCACCUUGAACGAUCCCAAAGGAGCCGAUAUCAAGCACACCAACGGUAGCUCAAGACAUCUUGCUCAGCCACACCCCCACGGGAUACAGCAGUAGCAAAAAUUAAGCAAUAAACGAAAGUUUGACUAAGUUAUGCUGAUUAGGGUUGGUCAAUCUCGUGCCAGCCACCGCGGUCAUACGAUUGACCCAAAUUAAUAAUUAAACGGCGUAAAGUGUGGUUAAACACUCACCAAUAUUAAUAAAGUUAAACUAGCUCUCAGCUGUAAAAAGCUAAAGAUCUACGGUAAAUAGACUAUUAAUGUAACUUUACUUAUAGUGAACCCACGAUAGCUAAGAUACAAACUGGGAUUAGAUACCCCACUAUGCUUAGCCGUAAACUUUGAUAAUUAAUAACAAAAAUAUCCGCCAGAGAACUACAAGCCACUGCUUAAAACUCAAAGGACUUGGCGGUGCUUUAUACCCCCUAGAGGAGCCUGUUGCGUAAUCGAUAAACCCCGAUAAACCCCACCAUCACUUGCUAAAUCAGUCUAUAUACCGCCAUCUUCAGCAAACCCUUAUAAGGAAUAAUAGUAAGCUUAAACGCACCCACAAAAACGUUAGGUCAAGGUGUAACCCAUGUGAUGGGAAACAAUGGGCUACAUUUUCUACAUAAGAACACACGGACUCACAUAUGAAACUAUUAGAUAAAGGAGGAUUUAGAAGUAAGCCAGGAAUAGAGAGCCUGACUGAACUUGGCUAUGAAGCACGCACACACCGCCCGUCACCCUCCUCAAGUGUUUAAGACUAAUAAUCCUAUUACACUAACAUAAACAUAAGAGGAGACAAGUCGUAACAAGGUAAGCAUACUGGAAAGUGUGCUUGGAAUAUU